UACUUCCAGUAGACUGAUGCAAUAGCCAGAUACAGACGUGCGCUCUCCAUUAUUGUUCAGUGUUGUGCGUUUAUGCAAACAAAUACCACAACGCAAUAACCUGUGUCAAAUACUGCCAUUUGAUCCAUCA
Long non-coding RNA from Cyprinus carpio carpio, 130 nucleotides. Lineage: Eukaryota; Metazoa; Chordata; Actinopteri; Cypriniformes; Cyprinidae. The record is from Ensembl.